Molecule: ribosomal RNA, 392 nt
Filed under: uncultured bacterium
Lineage: Bacteria
Description: bacterial SSU rRNA
Rfam family: Bacterial small subunit ribosomal RNA
Source: RNAcentral
GAUGAACGCUAGCGGCAGGCCUAACACAUGCAAGUCGAGGGGUAGAGAGGUGCUUGCAUCUCUUGAGAGCGGCGGACGGGUGAGUAAUGCCUAGGAAUCUGCCUAGUGUGGGGAUAACGUUCGGAAACGGACGCUAAUACCGCAUACGUCCUACGGGAGAAAGCGGGGGAUCUUCGGACCUCGCGCCAUUAGAUGAGCCUAGGUCGGAUUAGCUAGUUGGUGAGGUAAUGGCUCACCAAGGCGACGAUCCGUAACUGGUCUGAGAGGAUGAUCAGUCACACUGGAACUGAGACAUGGUCCAGACUCCUACGGGAGGCAGCAGUGGGGAAUAUUGGACAAUGGGCGAAAGCCUGAUCAGCCAUGCCGCGUGUGUGAAGAAGGUCUUCGGAUUG